AUUGAACGCUGGCGGCAGGCCUAACACAUGCAAGUCGAACGGUAACAGGAAGAAGCUUGCUUCUUUGCUGAUGAGUGGCGGACGGGUGAGUAAUGUCUGGGAAACUGCCUGAUGGAGGGGGAUAACUACUGGAAACGGUAGCUAAUACCGCAUAACGUCGCAAGACCAAAAAGGGGGACCUUCGGGCCUCUUGCCAUCGGAGGUGCCCAGAUGGGAUUAGCUAGUAGGUGGGGUAACGGCUCACCUAGGCGACGAUCCCUAGCUGGUCUGAGAGGAUGACCAGCCACACUGGAACUGAGACACGGUCCAGACUCCUACGGGAGGCAGCAGUGGGGAAUAUUGCACAAUGGGCGCAAGCCUGAUGCAGCCAUGCCGCGUGUAUGAAGAAGGCCUUCGGGUUGUAAAGUACUUUCAGCGGGGAGGAAGGGAGUAAAGUUAAGACCUUUGCUCAUUGACGUUACCCGCAGAAGAAGCACCGGCUAACUCCGUG
RNAcentral lists this ribosomal RNA (490 nucleotides) under uncultured bacterium. Its description in RNAcentral is "partial 16S ribosomal RNA". It matches the Rfam family "Bacterial small subunit ribosomal RNA", at positions 30 to 507 of the family's 1533-position model. The record is from RNAcentral.